Molecule: non-coding RNA, 369 nt
Organism: Sorex araneus (European shrew)
Lineage: Eukaryota; Metazoa; Chordata; Mammalia; Eulipotyphla; Soricidae
Source: the annotation of a RefSeq genome assembly
AUGAGGGCCCCUGUGCAGCUCCUCAGCUUCCUGCUGCUCUGGCUCCCGGGUGCCAGGUGUGAUAUCCAGAUGGUCCAGCCUUCAUCCGUGCCUGCAUCUCUGGGAGAGAAAGUCACCAUCACCUGCAAGGCCAGUCAGAGCGUUUACGACGGUUUAGCCUGGUAUCAGCAGAAACCGGGGAAAGCGCCCAGGCUCCUGAUCAAGUAUGCAACCAAUUUAGGACCUGAUGUUCCUUCCCGGUUCAGUGGCAGUGGAUAUGGGACAGAUUUCACUCUCACCAUCAGCAGCCUGGAGCCUGAAGAUGCUGCCACUUACUACUGUCAGCAGCAUUAUAGUUACCCUCCCACAGUGAUACACAACAGAACAUAA